RNAcentral lists this ribosomal RNA (433 nucleotides) under uncultured bacterium. RNAcentral's name for it is "partial 16S ribosomal RNA". It matches the Rfam family "Bacterial small subunit ribosomal RNA", at positions 29 to 507 of the family's 1533-position model. The record is from RNAcentral.
AACGAACGCUGGCGGCAUGCCUAACACAUGCAAGUCGAACGAGACCUUCGGGUCUAGUGGCGUACGGGUGCGUAACGCGUGGGAACCUGCCCUUAGGUUCGGAAUAACUCCCCGAAAGGGGUGCUAAUACCGGAUAAUGUCUUCGGACCAAAGAUUUAUCGCCUUUGGAUGGGCCCGCGUUGGAUUAGCUAGUUGGUAGGGUAAAAGCCUACCAAGGCGACGAUCCAUAGCUGGUCUGAGAGGAUGAUCAGCCACACUGGGACUGAGACACGGCCCAGACUCCUACGGGGAGCAGCAGUAGGGAAUAUUAGACAAUGGGCGAAAGCCUGAUCCAGCAAUGCCGCGUGAGUGAUGAAGGCCUUAGGGUUGUAAAGCUCUUUUACCCGGGAUGAUAAUGACAGUACCGGGAGAAUAAGCUCCGGCUAACUACGUG